UACGAAGGGGGCUAGCGUUGUUCGGAAUUACUGGGCGUAAAGCGCGCGCAGGCGGUCCUUCAAGUCAGAGGUGAAAGCCCAGGGCUCAACCCUGGAAUUGCCUUUGAGACUGAGGGACUUGGGUACGGGAGAGGUGAGUGGAAUUCCGAGUGUAGAGGUGAAAUCCGUAGAUAUUCGGAAGAACACCAGUGGCGAAGGCGGCUCACUGGCCCGUUACCGACGCUCAGGCGCGACAGCGUGGGGAGCAAACAGG
Molecule: ribosomal RNA, 253 nt
Filed under: uncultured bacterium
Lineage: Bacteria
Description: partial 16S ribosomal RNA
Rfam family: Bacterial small subunit ribosomal RNA
Source: RNAcentral